Molecule: long non-coding RNA, 373 nt
Organism: Ruditapes philippinarum (Manila clam)
Lineage: Eukaryota; Metazoa; Mollusca; Bivalvia; Venerida; Veneridae
Exons: 3
Source: RefSeq, a predicted model, not a curated record
GGGAGGCGGAAAAGGUGGCAUGGGCGGAGGAAUGCCAAUGAUGAUGAUGAUGCCAAUGGGCGGCGGUGGAAUGCCAAUGGGUGGUGGUAAAGGAGGAAUGGGAGGAGGUAUGGGCGGAGGAAUGCCAAUGGGAGGCGGUAUGGGCGGAGGAAUGCCAAUGGGAGGCGGUAUGGCGGAGGAAUGCCAAUGGGAGGCGGCAUGGGCGGUGGAAUGGGAGGUGGUAUGAGUAAAAUGAUGAUGCAACUAAUGAUGGGCGGUGGAAUGGGUGGUAUGCCAAUGGGAGGUGGAAUGGGCGGUGGAAUGAUGCCGAUGCCAAUGGGUGGAAAAGGAGGAAUGGGCGGUGGUAUGGGUGGAGGAAUGGGCGGCGGUAGGG